CGUCCGUUUUGUACGGUACUCGUCCGUUUCGUUUCCGUUUUGUAUCCGUUACGUGUCCGUUAUACAUCCGUUAGAGGUCUGGAAGAUAAAUUCACCAACGGACUUCUACGGACGUUAACGGAUAAAACGGAUGUUGAACGGAUGAGAAACGGACUUCUACCGGACGUAUAACGGAUAAAACGGAUGAUGAACGGAUCUAAAACGGAUAAAAGCCAAUUGAAAAUUUCGGGUCAGAAAUGCCAAUUAUUGGUAUGUCAGAUUUCUUAAGGUUCAUGAAUUCUUAUUAUUCAUAAUCGAUCUUAGAGUAUAGGCACGUCUUCACAAUCAAGCAGUUCUUAUUCAGGCCAGACACUGCCUUUUGGUGGAAUCUUGAAGAACAAACCAAAACCAGUUACACAGAAACAUUUUGAAUAUUUAUGCGAUUUACAUGUAUUAUUAUUGUCGCCUUUGAUUUUUCCGUAUAUAUCUUGUUCAUCCGUUUUAUCCGGUACGCUUCCGUUAGGUGUCCGUUUUAUGCGGUACUCGUCCGUUAGAUGUACGUUCGACAUCCGUUCUGUCCGGUACGUGUCCGUUUCUCGUACGUUGCAUAUCCGUUGUGUGUCCGUUAUGCAUCCGUUACACGUCCGUUUUAUUCGGUCAGUACUUCAACGGACUCCCAACGGAUAACAAUUUUGUCAAUGGACAACUUUUAUUUUCAUCCGUUAGGCAUCCGUUCGUGCUAUCCGGUAAGGUGUGACCGAGGCUUUACAAAACAA
This 755-nucleotide long non-coding RNA is filed under the name Mytilus galloprovincialis (Mediterranean mussel). The record is from RNAcentral. Lineage: Eukaryota; Metazoa; Mollusca; Bivalvia; Mytilida; Mytilidae.